RNAcentral lists this ribosomal RNA (274 nucleotides) under uncultured bacterium. RNAcentral describes it as "partial 16S ribosomal RNA". It matches the Rfam family "Bacterial small subunit ribosomal RNA", at positions 523 to 796 of the family's 1533-position model. The record is from RNAcentral.
AUACGGAGGAUCCAAGCGUUAUCCGGAAUCAUUGGGUUUAAAGGGUCCGUAGGCGGGUUUGUAAGUCAGUGGUGAAAGUUUUCGGCUCAACCGGAAAAUUGCCAUUGAUACUGCAAGUCUUGAAUCAUUAUGAAGUGGUUAGAAUGUGUAGUGUAGCGGUGAAAUGCAUAAAUAUUACACAGAAUACCGAUUGCGAAGGCAGAUCACUAAUAAUGUAUUGACGCUAAGGGACGAAAGCGUGGGUAGCGAACAGGAUUAGAAACCCGAGUAGUCC